Molecule: long non-coding RNA, 375 nt
Filed under: Mytilus galloprovincialis (Mediterranean mussel)
Lineage: Eukaryota; Metazoa; Mollusca; Bivalvia; Mytilida; Mytilidae
Source: RNAcentral
GGGUAAAAUUCAGUUUUUGGCAUAUAACUCAAAAACCAAAGCAUUUAAAGUAAAUCUGACAUGAAGUAAAAUUGUUUAUCAGGUCAAGAUCUAUCUGCCCUGCAAUUUUCAGAUGAAUCGGACAACCCGUUGUUGGGUUGCUGCCCCUGAAUUGGUAAUUUUAAGGAAAUUUUUGCUGUUUUUGGUUAUUAUCUUGAAUAUUUUUAUAGAUAGAGAUAAACUGUAAAAAGCAAUAAAUGUCGGCAAAGUAAGAUCUACAAAUAAGUCAACAUGACCGAAAUGGUCAGUUGACCCCUUUAGGAGUUAUUGCCCUUUAUAGUCAAUUUUUAACCAUUUUUCGUAAAUCUUAGUUAUCUUUACAAAAAUCUUCUCCUC